RNAcentral lists this long non-coding RNA (1692 nucleotides) under Ursus maritimus (polar bear). RNAcentral describes it as "lncRNA (ENSUMAG00000006825.1)". Lineage: Eukaryota; Metazoa; Chordata; Mammalia; Carnivora; Ursidae. The record is from RNAcentral.
CUUCUCUGAAAUCAGGCAAAGGUGGUAGAUGAAGUGUUGGAGUCAGUUUCACCUGGUUGAAAACGUUUUUAAAAAGUCCGAUGACAUUUUGUGAACUCGUUUCAGUAUUGUUAAAGUAUCCCUCUUCGCCUAGGUUUUUCUGCCUGUUAAAGACACAGCUGUACAUAUGUUCAUUGUUUAAAAGGAGAAAGGAUUCAAAAGUCUGUAGCUCUGUCACCCCAAGACACGCUAGAGUGUUAGGUAGUUUUAUUCUUCCUAUAGAUAUUUUUCUACCUUUUAAUAGUCUUUGUAAUAUGAUCUUUUUCCCAUGCAGGUUUUGUCAGUGUUUCCAGUUUAUAACAACUACACGGUUUAUACUACAGUAAUGAGCGCUGCCAACCCGGAGAAGUACACGACUAGGAUCAGGAGCCUGGGUUAAAAGUAAGUAAGCACGAGUGGAUUCAACCAUGCUAUGAAAGUUUUGCUCGUUUGUUGUUGUUUGCUCAUUUGGGGACAUUGGUGGGUGUGCUGGUGUUUCCCGCAGAAGAUGGUAACGUCUUUAACAUCUAUGCAUACAGAAUAUUCUUCUGACAGACAUCUGGCAAACGGUUGUCAUUUGUGUCAGGUUAAUGUCACUAUUCGGUAUUUAUCUUGAAUUUGUUGGCAUGAGAGCUAAUCUUCUCGUGCCUAAUGCCCUUUGUCCCUUACUCAAACCUAUUCUCAGGGCAAGGUGUUAUCUCUUAGCUGACACAGAGGGGGAAAUAAUUGGGAAGACUUGCGUGUCCCCAGCAUAAUAGUGAGGCAGGCCCAGCACCUCGACAACUUGAGAAGACAGAUAGUGACGGCAGAGAUCAGCUGCAGAACUUAUUUCAGGCAUCGGUGAGCCCAUCGGUGAGGGGAAGGACAUGAGGAAAAAGCAGGAGUCCUGAAACCAAACCUAGGCAGUUUUCCCUAUUGCCGGGUUCUUCUAGAACUUGUCAACCUGGCCUGACGUUUUGGUCAUUUGCUUAUCGUGGCAGUGUUAAAAACUGGUGUUUGAAUUAAGUACAUUUAUUUUUCUUCCUUUACAGAUGAUUUCUUAAAAGUGAAAUUCUUGAAGAGCUGUACUUUAAAAAACAAAACCAAGUGAAAGGAUUGUAUUAUUUUAGGAACAAUACAGGUCCUUCCUCAUUAGGCUUUUCAGUCUUGUCAAGCGGGGGCAGGAGGACCACUUGGCAGCUUGUACUGCUGAAGUGGGUGGUAGGCGCCUUCAUUUGCUUCUCUUCAUCGCUUGUGACCCUCUGUAAGCUCGGUCUGUGCUGACUGGAGCAGCUCAAGGAAAAUUGGUCUCAGAGGUCAAGCCACUUCUCACCACCACAUGUAGCAAUGUUGUCAGACCUCAGCUUAUGAAGAAAUGAGCUGGCUAGGCCUCUUUGUUUCUUAUGAAGUGCUUCUGGAAGAUAUGAGAAAGGAAAGGUUCUUCUAAAAGAAAUGGAGAACUGUAGUUUGAGUAGAGCCUGUUGGAGUGUUUGUUCGUCUGAGCUUUGAUCACGUGUUGCCAUGGGGUGGGACUCUCACUUUUCAUAAUGUGUCUAAUGUUUCUUUAUAAAAACUGAUGGGCUUCCUUUUUCUACAUAGCUACUUUCUUACUGCUUUUUGAAAGCAAUAUGAAACCAAAUUAUUUCUGAUUGUCACUUUUCAUUAGUUAAUAAAAUGUUGAAAGAGAUGUUGGCA